Molecule: long non-coding RNA, 1561 nt
Filed under: Homo sapiens (human)
Lineage: Eukaryota; Metazoa; Chordata; Mammalia; Primates; Hominidae
Description: JPX transcript, XIST activator
Rfam family: JPX transcript, XIST activator conserved region 1 (bases 8-142)
Source: RNAcentral
UAUGCCCUAGGGCUAGUGGAAGACUUAAGAUGGCGGCGUUUGCACGGAGUGCAAUCACUGCGUCCUUACGGGGGUUGCAAGGCGUCCGAAGUAUGAGUCCACUAACAAAAGUCCAGAAACUCGCCAGUUAAUAGUAUUGUGUCUCUUCAAAAUAUCGGAGAAUAAUUUCUUUCUCGCUGAUCGCCUAACUUCUACUGACGAAGCUUGGAAGUUGCAGAAGAUGGAGUUCGCUCUUGUUGCCCAGGCUGGAAUGCAAUGGCAUGACCUUGGCUCACUGCAACCUCUGCCUCCCCAGUUCAAGUGGUUCUCCUGCCUCAGCCUCCCGAGUAGCUGAGAUUACAGGUACUGGCUCCUGUAUCACCCAGCUCUGGAGUUGAAAGAGCUCUUCAUUCCUGAGUCUCCUGUACCACUGAGAAUAGUUUCUUCAAAGGAAAGAAGCAACUGGAACACACAUAUAACACUAACCCUUCCAGCUGCAUUAUGAGGGACCAGUACCUGUCUCAAGGCAAAAUUAUGACUUAGUUCAUCCUCACCUCUGGAGGCCAGUAAAAGUGGGUUAUAGAAGAACAAAGAGGCAUCUAGAUCUUUCACUGGGUUAUUUGGAGAGAAACAUCUCCUACCGAAGGCCAGUUUAACAAGACUGGUAGAGGAGGUUAUCUUAUCUAAUUCACAGAAAUCAACACAUUGAGUCAAGAAAAAUGAAACACAGAAACACUCUAAAUAAAAGAAGAUAAGUCUUCAGAAACCAACCCUAAUGAAAUGAAGAUAUGUGAUUAACCUGACAGGAAAUUAAAAAGAGCAACCAUAAAGAGUCUCAUGGGAGCAAUGCAUGAACAAACUGAGAAUUUUCAUAAAGAAAUAAAAGAUAACAAAAAGUAUAAAGUUGAAGAAUACAAUAACUGGACUCAAAAAUUUAAUGUGUCCAACAGAAGAAUCGAUGAAGCAGAAGAAAGGGCUAUCAAACUUGUAGAUAGGCCAUUGGAAAUCAUGUAAUGUGAGGAGAAAAAAGAAAAAAGAUUGAAGAUAGUUUAAGAGACUUUUGAGACAUCCUCAAAGGGGAAUAAUUUAUACAUUACCAGAUGGAGAAGAUAGAGGGAAAAGGACAGAAAACAUAUUUGAAGAAAUAAUGUCAGAAAACCUCAUAAUUCUGGCAAGGAAAUAGAAAUUUAGAUCUAAGAAUCUCGAACAUCAGGUAUGAUGAAUCCAAGGAGACUCACACCAAACCAUAUUGUAAUUAAAUAAAGGUUAAAGACAAUCUUCAGAGCAGCAAGGGAAUAGUCUCUUCUUACAUACAAAAUGAUCCACGGAAGACUGUCAGCAGACUUCACCAGAAAACUUUCACGCCAGAAGGCAGUCGUGAUAUAUACAAAAAGCUGAAAGGAAAACACUGCCAUCCAGGAAUACUAUCUCCAACUAUCCUGUGUUUCAAAAAUUAAGGAGAAAUAUAAAGUUCUCAAACAAAAGAUGUGGGAGUUUACCACCACUAGACCUGCACGGGAAGAAUUGCUAAAGGGAGUCCUUCAAGCUGUAGUAAAAGAGUGCUAAUUAGAAACAUGAAAAC